GACCCACCGGAAUGAAGAGAAGGCCGGCUGAAGAGGAGAGGCGAGGAGCGUCGCGCCGCCGGCGACGGCGAUUCUGCUCACCUGCCGAGCUUGGCCAACGGUACCCAACGACGACAGCUCUUCGGCGGAGCGCAAAUGGGGAGAGACGAACGUUGGCCGGUGGGUACAAGUACAGGAUACGUGAUACUGACUCAAGCAAACGGAUGAUGGCAGCGAGAAGUGCAGCUUGCUCAGCGGACAACUCAAUUGCUGGCGGAAGGUCUAACAGUCUUGAAUGGACUCUACAGAACGAAGGAAGAAGGCUGGGAAAGGGCAAGGAUAUAAAUGCAGUGACUCGAAGCAGUGGGCUGACACUGUGAUUAGUGCUGCUACUGUCGUUCCCUGGUUUUUGAAGGCUUUGUACAUGAUGAAUAUUUUGAGCUUGGUCAGUGAGACCAGAAGGACAAAACUGUUUUCAUUUUAAGAAGCAA
This is a long non-coding RNA of Musa acuminata subsp. malaccensis (wild Malaysian banana), 470 nucleotides long. RefSeq lists it as uncharacterized. The record is from RefSeq and is a predicted model, not a curated record. Lineage: Eukaryota; Viridiplantae; Streptophyta; Magnoliopsida; Zingiberales; Musaceae.